Daphnia magna is the source of this 161-nucleotide long non-coding RNA. RefSeq lists it as uncharacterized. The record is from RefSeq and is a predicted model, not a curated record. The transcript is spliced from 2 exons. Lineage: Eukaryota; Metazoa; Arthropoda; Branchiopoda; Diplostraca; Daphniidae.
UUAACCCACUGACAUUUGACCUAUUGUCAAACCUCCUGCGUUUUACACCUAAGACUGGUGAGCCGAGCUCAGUCCAGGAUUGGUGAUUUCAUGUAUGUAAGUUUAUUCGCAUGAGUUCGACAGAACUAAGAGAGAAAGAAUACAGUCCACUCUCCAUCGAA